Molecule: ribosomal RNA, 253 nt
Filed under: uncultured bacterium
Lineage: Bacteria
Description: partial 16S ribosomal RNA
Rfam family: Bacterial small subunit ribosomal RNA
Source: RNAcentral
UACGUAGGGGGCAAGCGUUGUCCGGAUUUAUUGGGCGUAAAGAGCGUGUAGGCGGUUAGGUAGGUCCGUUGUGAAAACUCGAGGCUCAACCUCGAGACGCCGAUGGAAACCAUCUGACUAGAGUCCGGAAGAGGAGAGUGGAAUUCCUGGUGUAGCGGUGAAAUGCGUAGAUAUCAGGAGGAACACCGGUGGUGUAGACGGCUCUCUGGACCGUAACUGACGCUGAGACACGAAAGCGUGGGUAGCAAACAGG